Molecule: long non-coding RNA, 491 nt
Filed under: Paramuricea clavata
Lineage: Eukaryota; Metazoa; Cnidaria; Anthozoa; Malacalcyonacea; Plexauridae
Source: RNAcentral
GCUUCGAAGGAAAUUACAAGUCUAUUGAGGCAGAAAAUGCCGUGCUUUGUUGGCCAAUUGUCUCUAUUAUUGAGGAAGUACUAUUAAUACCUCGACAGGAAGUCAAAUUUGAUAUGUAUGUACUUUAAGUUCGCGUGCCAGGCAAAGAUUAUCUAUAAUAGUUUGCACUCAUUAUUUUUUACAUGUUUAAUGUGUUGCAGCUGGCUGAUGCAAGUGGUUCGACGUUUUACAGACACCUAAACUGCGUAAAACGAUACGAGCUAACGCGUGGAUUAUGUGGAGAGAAGAUUGGAAAUCACAGAACUUCAAUGGAUUUCGUGCUGAAAGCCUGAUUCACCAGCAUGUCUCAAGCAGCGAUAUUUGAAUAAACAAAACUUGGAGUUUUUUUACGGCAUCAGUAUAAAUUCUGACGCGCUGUCUCGGUUAGAUCUCGUACAAGGCCGUUCGUAAAAUUUGGUCAAGGAAGGCAGCUGGCUUAAUUUGAAUUAAAG